RNAcentral lists this ribosomal RNA (478 nucleotides) under uncultured bacterium. RNAcentral's name for it is "partial 16S ribosomal RNA". It matches the Rfam family "Bacterial small subunit ribosomal RNA", at positions 28 to 507 of the family's 1533-position model. The record is from RNAcentral.
GACGAACGCUGGCGGCGUGCUUAACACAUGCAAGUCGAACGUGAUUUUUGUGGAAAUUCUUUCGGGAAUGGAAAUGAAAUGAAAGUGGCGAACGGGUGAGCAACACGUGAGCAACCUACCUUACACAGGGGGAUAGCCGCUGGAAACGACGAUUAAUACCGCAUGAGACCACAGAAUCGCAUGAUAUAGGGGUCAAAGAUUUAUCGGUGUAAGAAGGGCUCGCGUCUGAUUAGCUAGUUGGAAGGGUAAAGGCCUACCAAGGCGACGAUCAGUAGCCGGUCUGAGAGGAUGAACGGCCACAUUGGAACUGAGACACGGUCCAAACUCCUACGGGAGGCAGCAGUGGGGAAUAUUGCACAAUGGGGGGAACCCUGAUGCAGCGACGCCGCGUGAGCGAAGAAGGUUUUCGAAUCGUAAAGCUCUGUCCUAUGAGAAGAUAAUGACGGUAUCAUAGGAGGAAGCCCCGGCUAAAUACGUG